This 329-nucleotide ribosomal RNA is filed under the name uncultured bacterium. RNAcentral describes it as "bacterial SSU rRNA". It matches the Rfam family "Bacterial small subunit ribosomal RNA", at positions 30 to 365 of the family's 1533-position model. The record is from RNAcentral.
AUUGAACGCUGGCGGAAUGCUUUACACAUGCAAGUCGAACGGUAGAGGGGGCAACCCCUUGAGAGUGGCGAACGGGUGAGUAAUAUAUCGGAACGUGCCCAGUCGUGGGGAUAACGUAGCGAAAGUUACGCUAAUACCGCAUACGAUCUAAGGAUGAAAGCGGGGAUCGCAAGACCUCGCGCGAUUGGAGCGGCCGAUAUCAGAUUAGGUAGUUGGUGAGGUUAAAGGCUCACCAAGCCAACGAUCUGUAGCUGGUCUGAGAGGACGACCAGCCACACUGGAACUGAGACACGGUCCAGACUCCUACGGAGGCAGCAGUGGGGAAUUUU